UUUGCAGGGACUGUAGAACAGGGUUGUAAGACCUGUCUGUCCUCCGCUGCGACUCUUGCAUGAAGCUCAUGUUAUUCGCCAGUUGUUGUUGGAUGGUAGAGAGUAGGUUGUCACGCCUUUGCUCUCUAGCCAUGUGGUCACGCCACAUCUCCUCUGUAAUAUAAAAGCCAAGAGUGGUACCUGCAGAAGAAGAAGAUGGUGCGGUGUGUGGUGGUGAAGGAUGAUGGGGGGACAUAUGGGGUACGAGAGAUCUCUCUCUCCGAUCAUAUUCAUCAUCAGUGUCAUUUUCCUCCUCAUCAGGAAUGUUAGGAGGAAGAGGACCCAAAACAGGUGGAGCAUCUAAAGCGUAGGUUCAAUUCUUUUCAUCUCGUACAUCUGUACGUCUAGUGCACGGUAAAACAACAAAUGAGAUGGCUACACCAUGAACCAUAAGUAUAUAGCCUCCUUCUCUCCUCAAAC
This 459-nucleotide long non-coding RNA is filed under the name Lathyrus oleraceus (garden pea). RNAcentral's name for it is "Pisum sativum (pea) long non-coding RNA (PSAT_LNC027686)". Lineage: Eukaryota; Viridiplantae; Streptophyta; Magnoliopsida; Fabales; Fabaceae. The record is from RNAcentral.